GAAGAGUGAAUAUGGUUAUUCACCUGAGCUCCUGCCACAAACUCCUGUAUUUUCCUAUUUGUCUUUUUACUGAAAAGAAAGAACGGAAGACAGACCACUUUCCUAAUUCCUUUAAUGACAAAAAGACAAAGCCCACAUAAACACAAAAUACAAAGACAAAUUAUUGAAUAUUGACAAAGAUUUUAUUUGAUCAAGACUGUCAAGCACAAUCAAAAGUAAGUAUUUGGGCAGACUGGGUGUGAAAUCCCUUGUCGUGCCCCUCCCACUGUGCUCUAUCAAGCGCCACAACGUGGUGAAAUGUUAAGGAGGAGAGACCAUGAUGGACGCCCAGUGGUUCUGCACCAAAUAGAUGGCCUCGUUUAGUGUUGCUGGUUGGUUGUGCAGAAGCCAGUGGGCUGUCUCUUCUGGGAGCUGUUCCAUAAACUGCUCCAUUACCACCCGCUCCACAAUCCUUCCAGCAUCAAGACCGUCAACAAGCAACCAGUCCUGACACUCUUUCUGGAGCUGUUGUACAUAUAAAAAUAGAUCGCCGACGUCACCGAGCGUCAAGGAGCGAAACCUCAUGCGGUGUUGCUCUGACCGCUGAGAAACGACUUUACAGCGACAUUCAGAUUCUUCACUCAGCUUCAUUCUCUGAAAAUUCUGUUGCAUUUGUUCCAUGGCCUCCAGAUGCUCAUUUUGCAUUUGUUUAUCUUCUUGGAGAUACAGUACGGUGUCAGGGAGGUGUGAGGGCUCCAUCGAGAUUUUUGUGGAAAAGUAGAAAGAAAUGUUAAAUAAAAAAGAAAGCAAAAUGUCGUUUUCAAAGUCCGCUUUUCUCUGUAGAUUUCUGGAGAAAAUACAGGCACUUUAUACCCUAACAUAAGGCGGGUUUAUUUAAUGCAUAAACCGCCUUAAUACCAAACCUGCCUUCACAAGCGACAUGAUCAUGGAUCCGGAGAGCCUUUUGGUUCUCGGUGGAUAGAGCGGUGUUCUCUUGACGAAUAGAAGUCCUGGUUUACACUUUUGAGAAUUAGAAACAUGUUUUGAUUACUUUAACAACACGCUAAAGGCUGAUUAGACCUUUUCUAAGAAGCCAGUCGGGACUCAAAAAUGGAUUCAUUUACUUAAUUCUGUUUAUUUUUCCUGAUGAUAAUAAACAUCCCUGUUUCUUCGUGUAAGAACACCAUAAACCACUGAAUGAUGUUAUUGAAUUAUUAACACACAGACUAAGCUCCUCCUGAAAUCUCUAACACCGGAAGAAUGUAAGUUCCUGCUAAGGCUGCGGAAAAACACUCACUCCCUUAGUUAGACUACACAUACUUGUCCAACUUACUUAAGUCGCUUCAUUUGACAUAAUAUACUGAAGCCUUUAAAAACUACCAAUGUUUUUUUUCUUCAUUUGUAUCAAAAUAAAUAUAUUUUAAAAUAUACAUAAUACACUGUGUUGUUAAAAUAAACUGCGAGAGAAUAACUACAAUACGUUCUCCUCACCUUCUAGUGAUCCAUUUACAUGGUUUAAACAAUUUAAAUACAUUUGGCUUAAACUGAUUUGACAGCAGGAUAUGUCCAUGCUUGUUUAUUCUGUGUCCUGUUUUCCAACUUACUCCCACCUCUUAAUGCUCUCCACUCUCGUCUUGUGACGCAUGGUUGUUUCGGGUGAACAGACUGUAGGCUAAACGUUUGAUAAUUUGACGGAACCAACGACAGAUCAGUACUCAUUCGGCCACGAAUGAGUUAACAAGGAACUUGGUCGAAAAAAAACACGGCCCUUCUGCUGUUCAGUUUCUCUCAGCCUCAUUCUCUCACCAUGACACUUCUGAACAUUCACCGCAGGUUUGGAGUACAGGAUCGGAGUUCAGGCUACAAGUAACAUAUCGACCUUUGCUGAAAUAUCUUGAUAUUGUAACAGGAGAACAGUCGAACUUGGCUUGUGGUCGAUAUUUUUUUGUACUAAGACUAGUUACGCCCUUUCUAAUGGCUGCUUCCCGGAUCUGCUACAUGAAGUGAGAAGCACAGUGCUGUUUAUGGAAAACGUCGACGUUGGAGGGUGAAUAUUUCGACAACACACGGGAAAGGCGAAUAAGAAAAAACCCGACGGUGUUCACUUAAAUCAUUUAUAUGAUACCAUAUUAUCUAAAGCAUUGCCAACUCACUCUGUUUUUUUUUCGUUUUUAAUGUAUGUUCCAUCGGGCCUGCAAUGGACAUCUUUUUAUUUAUUUUAUUCUUUGUCAAUAGCGCUGGAUAAACAUUUUGACUUUUGACUUGUAUAGAAGAAGCGCGACGGGAUUUUAAAUCAGGCUACAUUUGUGUGAAACAUGUUUUUUUUGUUUCUUGUCUGUCAUUUUGGCAUAUUUUUGUAUUUAUUUGGUCCAAGUUCCGGCAACAAACAACAAUCUUGUAACAGAAAAAAGCACGUUGCUUCAUCGUCGCUAGUGUGAGUAAAUAAAAUAAAAAAUACAGUGGAACAGUGAGUUCUGAACCUAAAGGUGUGGUGCUGCCGUGGAAAAGCGACUUGACCAACACUGUUUAUUUUGUGGACUUUUUUGAAAUUAUUCGUUGCACAAUAUUAUGAACAGAGGAGAAUAUUAAGGUUAAAUACAGAUAGAUUAAAAUAUAAUUUAAUAUUUAAUUUUCAAUAUAUUAUUUACAUGAGCGGUGGCUUGCACAAUGUGACAGCAAAGUGUUUGGUCCAUAAGGAAGAGUGAAUAUGGUUAUUCAUCUGAGCUCCUGCCACAAACUCCUGUAUUUUCCUAUUUGUCUUUUUACUGAAAAGAAAGAAUGGAAGACAGACCACUUUCCUAAUUCCUUUAAUGACAAAAAGACAAAGCCCACAUAAACACAAAAUACAAAGACAAAUUAUUGAAUAUUGACAAAGAUUUUAUUUGAUCAAGACUGUCAAGCACAAUCAAAAGUAAGUAUUUGGGCAGACUGGGUGUGAAAUCCCUUGUCGUGCCCCUCCCACUGUGCUCUAUCAAGCGCCACAACGUGGUGAAAUGUUAAGGAGGAGAGACCAUGAUGGACGCCCAGUGGUUCUGCACCAAAUAGAUGGCCUCGUUUAGUGUUGCUGGUUGGUUGUGCAGAAGCCAGUGGGCUGUCUCUUCUGGGAGCUGUUCCAUAAACUGCUCCAUUACCACCCGCUCCACAAUCCUUCCAGCAUCAAGACCGUCAACAAGCAACCAGUCCUGACACUCUUUCUGGAGCUGUUGUACAUAUAAAAAUAGAUCGCCGACGUCACCGAGCGUCAAGGAGCGAAACCUCAUGCGGUGUUGCUCUGACCGCUGAGAAACGACUUUACAGCGACAUUCAGAUUCUUCACUCAGCUUCAUUCUCUGAAAAUUCUGUUGCAUUUGUUCCAUGGCCUCCAGAUGCUCAUUUUGCAUUUGUUUAUCUUCUUGGAGAUACAGUACGGUGUCAGGGAGGUGUGAGGGCUCCAUCGAGAUUUUUGUGGAAAAGUAGAAAGAAAUGUUAAAUAAAAAAGAAAGCAAAAUGUCGUUUUCAAAGUCCGCUUUUCUCUGUAGAUUUCUGGAGAAAAUACAGGCACUUUAUACCCUAACAUAAGGCGGGUUUAUUUAAUGCAUAAACCGCCUUAAUACCAAACCUGCCUUCACAAGCGACAUGAUCAUGGAUCCGGAGAGCCUUUUGGUUCUCGGUGGAUAGAGCGGUGUUCUCUUGACGAAUAGAAGUCCUGGUUUACACUUUUGAGAAUUAGAAACAUGUUUUGAUUACUUUAACAACACGCUAAAGGCUGAUUAGACCUUUUCUAAGAAGCCAGUCGGGACUCAAAAAUGGAUUCAUUUACUUAAUUCUGUUUAUUUUUCCUGAUGAUAAUAAACAUCCCUGUUUCUUCGUGUAAGAACACCAUAAACCACUGAAUGAUGUUAUUGAAUUAUUAACACACAGACUAAGCUCCUCCUGAAAUCUCUAACACCGGAAGAAUGUAAGUUCCUGCUAAGGCUGCGGAAAAACACUCACUCCCUUAGUUAGACUACACAUACUUGUCCAACUUACUUAAGUCGCUUCAUUUGACAUAAUAUACUGAAGCCUUUAAAAACUACCAAUGUUUUUUUUCUUCAUUUGUAUCAAAAUAAAUAUAUUUUAAAAUAUACAUAAUACACUGUGUUGUUAAAAUAAACUGCGAGAGAAUAACUACAAUACGUUCUCCUCACCUUCUAGUGAUCCAUUUACAUGGUUUAAACAAUUUAAAUACAUUUGGCUUAAACUGAUUUGACAGCAGGAUAUGUCCAUGCUUGUUUAUUCUGUGUCCUGUUUUCCAACUUACUCCCACCUCUUAAUGCUCUCCACUCUCGUCUUGUGACGCAUGGUUGUUUCGGGUGAACAGACUGUAGGCUAAACGUUUGAUAAUUUGACGGAACCAACGACAGAUCAGUACUCAUUCGGCCACGAAUGAGUUAACAAGGAACUUGGUCGAAAAAAAAACACGGCCCUUCUGCUGUUCAGUUUCUCUCAGCCUCAUUCUCUCACCAUGACACUUCUGAACAUUCACCGCAGGUUUGGAGUACAGGAUCGGAGUUCAGGCUACAAGUAACAUAUCGACCUUUGCUGAAAUAUCUUGAUAUUGUAACAGGAGAACAGUCGAACUUGGCUUGUGGUCGAUAUUUUUUUGUACUAAGACUAGUUACGCCCUUUCUAAUGGCUGCUUCCCGGAUCUGCUACAUGAAGUGAGAAGCACAGUGCUGUUUAUGGAAAACGUCGACGUUGGAGGGUGAAUAUUUCGACAACACACGGGAAAGGCGAAUAAGAAAAAACCCGACGGUGUUCACUUAAAUCAUUUAUAUGAUACCAUAUUAUCUAAAGCAUUGCCAACUCACUCUGUUUUUUUUUCGUUUUUAAUGUAUGUUCCAUCGGGCCUGCAAUGGACAUCUUUUUAUUUAUUUUAUUCUUUGUCAAUAGCGCUGGAUAAACAUUUUGACUUUUGACUUGUAUAGAAGAAGCGCGACGGGAUUUUAAAUCAGGCUACAUUUGUGUGAAACAUGUUUUUUUUGUUUCUUGUCUGUCAUUUUGGCAUAUUUUUGUAUUUAUUUGGUCCAAGUUCCGGCAACAAACAACAAUCUUGUAACAGAAAAAAGCACGUUGCUUCAUCGUCGCUAGUGUGAGUAAAUAAAAUAAAAAAUACAGUGGAACAGUGAGUUCUGAACCUAAAGGUGUGGUGCUGCCGUGGAAAAGCGACUUGACCAACACUGUUUAUUUUGUGGACUUUUUUGAAAUUAUUCGUUGCACAAUAUUAUGAACAGAGGAGAAUAUUAAGGUUAAAUACAGAUAGAUUAAAAUAUAAUUUAAUAUUUAAUUUUCAAUAUAUUAUUUACAUGAGCGGUGGCUUGCACAAUGUGACAGCAAAGUGUUUGGUCCAUAAGGAAGAGUGAAUAUGGUUAUUCAUCUGAGCUCCUGCCACAAACUCCUGUAUUUUCCUAUUUGUCUUUUUACUGAAAAGAAAGAAUGGAAGACAGACCACUUUCCUAAUUCCUUUAAUGACAAAAAGACAAAGCCCACAUAAACACAAAAUACAAAGACAAAUUAUUGAAUAUUGACAAAGAUUUUAUUUGAUCAAGACUGUCAAGCACAAUCAAAAGUAAGUAUUUGGGCAGACUGGGUGUGAAAUCCCUUGUCGUGCCCCUCCCACUGUGCUCUAUCAAGCGCCACAACGUGGUGAAAUGUUAAGGAGGAGAGACCAUGAUGGACGCCCAGUGGUUCUGCACCAAAUAGAUGGCCUCGUUUAGUGUUGCUGGUUGGUUGUGCAGAAGCCAGUGGGCUGUCUCUUCUGGGAGCUGUUCCAUAAACUGCUCCAUUACCACCCGCCCCACAAUCCUUCCAGCAUCAAGACCGUCAACAAGCAACCAGUCCUGACACUCUUUCUGGAGCUGUUGUACAUAUAAAAAUAGAUCGCCGACGUCACCGAGCGUCAAGGAGCGAAACCUCAUGCGGUGUUGCUCUGACCGCUGAGAAACGACUUUACAGCGACAUUCAGAUUCUUCACUCAGCUUCAUUCUCUGAAAAUUCUGUUGCAUUUGUUCCAUGGCCUCCAGAUGCUCAUUUUGCUUUUGUUUAUCUUCUUGGAGAUACAGUACGGUGUCAGGGAGGUGUGAGGGCUCCAUCGAGAUUUUGUGGAAAAGUAGAAAGAAAUGUUAAAUAAAAAAGAAAGCAAAAUGUCGUUUUUAAAGUCCGCUUUUCUCUGUAGAUUUCUGGAGAAAAUACAGGCACUUUAUACCCUAACAUAAGGCGGGUUUAUUUAAUGCAUAAACCGCCUUAAUACCAAACCUGCCUUCACAAGCGACAUGAUCAUGGAUCCGGAGAGCCUUUUGGUUCUCGGUGGAUAGAGCGGUGUUCUCUUGACGAAUAGAAGUCCUGGUUUACACUUUUGAGAAUUAGAAACAUGUUUUGAUUACUUUAACAACACGCUAAAGGUUGAUUAGACCUUUUCUAAGAAACCAGUCGGGACUCAAAAAUGGAUUCAUUUACUUAAUUCUGUUUAUUUUUCUUGAUGAUAAUAAACAUCCCUGUUUCUUCGUGUAAGAACACCAUAAACCACUGAAUGAUGUUAUUGAAUUAUUAACACACAGACUAAGCUCCUCCUGAAAUCUCUAACACCGGAAGAAUGUAAGUUCCUGCUAAGGCUGCGGAAAAACACUCACUCCCUUAGUUAGACUAUACAUACUUGUCCAACUUACUUAAGUCGCUUCAUUUGACAUAAUAUACUGAAGCCUUUAAAAACUACCAAUGUUUUUUUUUCUUCAUUUGUAUAAAAAUAAAUAUAUUUUAAAAUAUACAUAAUACACUGUGUUGUUAAAAUAAACUGCGAGAGAAUAACUACAAUACGUUCUCCUCACCUUCUAGUGAUCCAUUUACAUGGUUUAAACAAUUUAAAUACAUUUGGCUUAAACUGAUUUGACAGCAGGAUAUGUCCAUGCUUGUUUAUUCUGUGUCCUGUUUUCCAACUUACUCCCACCUCUUAAUGCUCUCCACUCUCGUCUUGUGACGCAUGGUUGUUUCGGGUGAACAGACUGUAGGCUAAACGUUUGAUAAUUUGACGGAACCAACGACAGAUCAGUACUCAUUCGGCCACGAAUGAGUUAACAAGGAACUUGGUCGAAAAAAAAACACGGCCCUUCUGCUGUUCAGUUUCUCUCAGCCUCAUUCUCUCACCAUGACACUUCUGAACAUUCACCGCAGGUUUGGAGUACAGGAUCGGAGUUCAGGCUACAAGUAACAUAUCGACCUUUGCUGAAAUAUCUUGAUAUUGUAACAGGAGAACAGUCGAACUUGGCUUGUGGUCGAUAUUUUUUUGUACUAAGACUAGUUACGCCCUUUCUAAUGGCUGCUUCCCGGAUCUGCUACAUGAAGUGAGAAGCACAGUGCUGUUUAUGGAAAACGUCGACGUUGGAGGGUGAAUAUUUCGACAACACACGGGAAAGGCGAAUAAGAAAAAACCUGACGGUGUUCACUUAAAUCAUUUAUAUGAUACCAUAUUAUCUAAAGUAUUGCCAACUCGCAAUUGCCAACUUUUUGUUUUGUUUUUAAUAAAUGCUCGAAUUUUCCACAUCGCCAUUUGGAAAUAUGACACCGAGGUUAAAAAGCGGAUGUGAAGCCUGUCGGAAUCAACAGAUAAUUAUUCCAGUUAUUCAAGAAAUUUAGCCCUAUAUUUACAAAAGGUUUUAGAAUGUGCUUUUUAUUGUUCUUUAUUCUUUACUGUUAUACUCAUCAUUAUUAUUAUUAUUAUUAUUAUUAUUAUUAUUAUUAUUAUUAUUAUUAUUAUUAUUUUCACAUUUUUGUACAUAUUUCUGCUAAUGUCAAGUAGGCCUCUGUAUGUUGUCUAUUGUCUUAUUAUUUGACACCAGCAAUUAAAUGAAAUAAAAUACAAAACCCAGUGGAACACUGAGUCCAGAACAUAAAGCUCUGAUACUUCCGUGGAAAUGGCACUGCUGCACUUCGCUACACAUGUUUGUGUUUCGGCGCACAGACUGUAGAAAUGUAGGCUGCAUGUUACGGAGUCUAUAAACUUUCGUGUUUUAGGUUUUUAGGGUUUAAAAAAGUUAAUUUUCACAUAAAUUGUCAACACAAUGGGGAGUUCAGAAAUCUAGCACGUAUUUGGUUAUUUGUCAAUUAAUUAAAAAAAAUAAGAGAAAAAGAAUCUUUUGUCGCUUUUGAGAUUUAAAAACUUGACUUUAAGAGCGCAGUAAAACGCUGAUUAGACCUUUUCUAAGAAGGCUGUCGGAAUUCACAAAUUCACUUAAAUCUCUUUAAUCUCUUAACCAAAUUCACUUAAAUCUCUUAAAACCUUAAACAAGGAUAUUAACCUUAAAUAUCCCUGUUUUUGCCUGCAAGAACUCCAUAAACCGCUGAAUUGUUAGCACGCAGACUUAACAGAUCAGUCUUUCGGAGACGAAUGAGAACAUAAGUAACACGUAAAACUUGCAGAAUAUUCGCCCCUCCUGCUGUUCAGUUUCUCUUUUCGUCAGCCUCAUUCUCUCUCAUUCUCUCAACAUGACUCACUCCUGAACAUUCAGCGCACGUUACCAUUUCGGAAAUGUGGCCAGAAAUGUCGACCUCUGCUGAAAUAUCCUCAUCUUGUAACAGAAGAAUAGUCGAGCUUGGCUCGUGGUCGAUAUUCUCUGUACUAAGAGUUAAGCGUUUUGUUUAUGGUGACUACCUAGAGAAACUCUUACAGGAAGUGGGAAAGACUUCGACAUUUUCCGCUGGACGGUGAAUAGUUCGACAACGCCCGGUAAAGGACGACGGUGUUCGCUUAAAUCAUUUAUUUGUUACUCUUUUCUGGAGUAUCUCUAAUUCUUUCUGUUUUUUACGGGUUCCGAAUUUUUCAACAUAGGCAACUGGAAAUAUGACACCGUCGUUGGAAAUCGGAUGUGAAGCCUGUCUGAAUUAACAGAUUAUUAUUUCAGUUAUUGGGGGUUAUAUUCAGUCACCUUUAAACAACGUUUUUUAGCUUUUUUUGAGCAUCCUGUUGUAUGUGUGAAAACCAUAAACCAUUGUAUUUACUCUUAUUCUACUUUUUAUUUUUUUUUAUGUGUGAAAAAAAAUAAACCGCUGUAUUUACUACUACAACUGAUGGUGUUUUUUUGUUUUGUUUUUUUACAUGAUUUUGUUCAUGUCAGGAAUGUUGUCUAAUAUCUGAUUUCAUUAUGUAACACUAACAAUAAAAUAAAAUACAAAACAGUGGAAUAUUGUGCUAUGUCGCUACACGUGCAGACUAUGGGAAUGUAAGCUUCUUGUUUCGGAGUCCAAAAGCUUCUGUAUUUUAAAAUUAUGCGAUCUUGGCGAAGUGUGAGGGCUCAGUUAUGGUGUAUGGGGAAGUGUUAAGGUGUAGAUAGAAUUCCUUAAAUUAAACAUUGAUCUCUGUGAUUUUCACGGCAGUUUGAACCGCGUAGGGGCAGGCGUUUAUAUAACCUGAUGCCAGCGUUUUAAAUCAGUUAAAAUGAAUCAAAUCUAAUUCAGAAUAAGGACGAAAGUGAAAAUAGCAAAAGAUCUUCAGUGGAAAUUCGACCGAAAUCUCUUCCACAACCCAAGGGCCGUGUCGGUCUAGUAUCAUUCGAACAUAGCUGGAUGAAAAACAGGAAACAUAAAAAAUCGAAAGCGAAUCAGUAGCGCUGCAAUAUUAUCAUAUAAAUGAUUUAAAUGCAGGGUUGGUGCUUUGUUCAUCGGUGUCGAGCUAUUUAUCUUCCAACGUCAGUGACGUUUUUCAAGUCGGAUGACUCACUCGGUGGCUUUUUCUAAGAACCUAGAGCAAAGGGCAGGCCUAAGAGUGGCACUUAGGGCGGAUCUCUCCUAGCAUGGCGAGGCAGUAAUAUAUGAAGCAACUGCUGAGUGCUGCAAUCAGAAAAAUCUCCAGCCGUAAGAUAAUAAAUGCGUCUACCAUUGCACGGCAUCGUGUGUUUUAUGACUGAGUAUGACUAGACUCAUUCAGUGCAUCUGUUACGGUAAGAUAGUUCUUCGGAGUUAUUAGGAUGUGUAGGUUAGAAACCUGAGUAAAUGAUGCAGCACGUCGCAUGACUAGGCAAUGAAAAUAUUUAUAUUUAUGACGUUUGACGCCUGGCUGAUUUUCCAAGCGAUUACUAAUAAGGGGCUCGCGCUCCUGUAGGGAUUCGUAUGCAUAUUUAAUUAUGCAGAAAUGUGUUAUGCCAAUUGUUUCUCCUUUACUCAGGCGUGUGCACUGCAGCACUCACUUGUGUGUCUGAAAUCCUCGAGAUGCUCCUGAACGCCUUUGCACGUGGAGGGGAAAUGCAUGAUCAGGCUGCAGUGGCAGAGGACUCAGCAGAGUCUGGAGAUGAAGGUUUUGGACUAUCAGUGGAGGAGACUGAACCAGCAGGGUGCCGAAGCUCAGUGCGUCCUUUCAUCCUUAUGGGGUCAUGAGACACCUGUUCUGGCAUGACAUUUGAUGAUCAGAAUUUCCUCAGUUUUCUAGACUAUCUAUAUCUAAACAGUUAUUUGUGUAAUCACAACACGCGUCAUUUUUUGACGUCAGGCCCAGCUUUAUACCCACUUCUGUAUUUUUUUUUUUUUUUACUUUUAGCUGUUUCAUUGUAAUUCUCUUUCACUUUUAACUGGCCAAGCAGGACUUUGUCGAUAUAUAUUUUAAACUUAUGUUUUUAUACUAUUAAUAUGCUAAAUUGUAUAAAUACUAUCAUUUUCAAGAGGAGUAUGGAUUGACUGCAAUUUUCCUGCAUAGUGUUUUUCUGUGUGAUGUAGAUGUAGAAUGUUCGGGGAAACGAAAACUGGAGGCAGGCCUUGCAGGUUACUCAGGGUUUUUUUUCGGCACUUUUCAGCGUGAACGCUGCACACAUACACUCUGCGUUUUGCGUACUUUGGAAAACAGCCCUGAUUGGAACUUGAACCGACAAACUCUGCGCUCAGGUGUAUUCUCUUAUUGCGCCCCAGGGCUAAAUGGCUAGGAUAAGGAGGUCACUUGGGCAGAGUGGAAAAAAGGGCUGAAAAAGCAAACAAAAUACACGCCAAAAUGGCAUGCUUAUAAGGAAUCAUUUCUCCUUACUAAACAUGCAGAAAUAAAGGGGGUUUACUUGUAUUUUGCUUCCUUUUCCUUUAUACUUGCCUCGGGUAAAGCCCUAAUCCAGAUGAAUCAUCGUGGUGAAUUCUGGGUUACCGAGUUCCCUCUGCCGCCCUCUGCAGGUUUAGAUGA
Molecule: long non-coding RNA, 11143 nt
Organism: Hemibagrus wyckioides
Lineage: Eukaryota; Metazoa; Chordata; Actinopteri; Siluriformes; Bagridae
Exons: 3
Source: RefSeq, a predicted model, not a curated record